CUGCCACUGAGGAAGGUUUUCCUUCUGGAGGUCCCUCCCUUUGGAGUUUUUCUGCAAGCUUAGGGCACGGUGUUGGUAAUGCCUGUUCCCAAGGAGCAUUCAGCAGCAUCUCCAGAUGCCUGUUCAGCUUGGAGCAUUGAGCAGCACCUCCAGAGGACAAACUAAGGGAGAUACGACACUUAGGUUGUACCAGACCUGGAAAGUAAUUAUGCAUCAGCUACUUGGAAAGGAGACUUAAUGCCAGAAUUUAGAUCUGGCUUACAGUAACUUCAGAGACAUUCAGUGUGGGCCGAAUUUAUUGCAAAACUUUGCCCAGCAGCACAACAAGGAGGCUGGUCACUGAAGGCUUCCUAGUUUAAUUUUUACCUGAGUGAGUUUGUCACUACUUCCUAUCAGGCUGAAAUAUCUACUAGGCUAUUUGUAUCUUUGAAAUGAGCUCCACUUGCUUGAUUUCCCCUUUGUGGGAACUGACUUUCUAAAAUCUGAAGUAAACGCACUGUAAACUGGAGGGCCUGUGGAAAACUGGAUUUCAGUUUCUUAACAAAAUACAUUAAAGGAUGCUAGAACAGUGACAGGUUUUCCAACAAAGUAAAAUUUUCUCAUAUUUUAAUCACACUCAAGACCAUUUUCUGUCCUUAGAUAUAUUUGAAUACCCUGUGUGAAGUUGAACUAUUUCCAGAGAAUAAACUAAUAAAUGUAGAUAACUGCAUACGAGUGUGGCUCAGCACAGAAAUGCAGGAGCUGAUAUUUGAAGCACAAAAUCAAGUGAGAAAAAGGAGGUGACAAGGAUGAAUGGCAGAAAUGGAGAGGCAAGGAGGUACAGAUGUUGGCAUCAGCUCAUAAAAGCAGAACACUGUGCUACUCUUCCUUGCAGUGUCCAAUCCAGCAGAUGUAUUUUGAUCAUGUCCUCCAGAUCAGGUUUCACAGAUGAGCCUGAGCAAUUACAAAUUCUCGGCAGGG
Molecule: long non-coding RNA, 960 nt
Filed under: Gallus gallus (chicken)
Lineage: Eukaryota; Metazoa; Chordata; Aves; Galliformes; Phasianidae
Description: lncRNA (ENSGALG00010021437.1)
Source: RNAcentral